RNAcentral lists this ribosomal RNA (253 nucleotides) under uncultured bacterium. RNAcentral describes it as "partial 16S ribosomal RNA". It matches the Rfam family "Bacterial small subunit ribosomal RNA", at positions 524 to 776 of the family's 1533-position model. The record is from RNAcentral.
UACGUAGGGGGCAAGCGUUGUCCGGAAUCAUUGGGCGUAAAGAGCGUGUAGGCGGCUCGGUAAGUCCGCUGUGAAAGUCCAAGGCUCAACCCUGGAAUGCCGGUGGAAACUGUCGAGCUAGAGUCCGGAAGAGGCGAGUGGAAUUCCUGGUGUAGCGGUGAAAUGCGCAGAUAUCAGGAGGAACACCGGUGGCGAAGGCGGGUCUCUGGGCCGAAAUUGACGCUGAGGAGCGAAAGCGUGGGGAGCAAACAGG